Molecule: long non-coding RNA, 296 nt
Filed under: Solanum tuberosum (potato)
Lineage: Eukaryota; Viridiplantae; Streptophyta; Magnoliopsida; Solanales; Solanaceae
Description: long non-coding RNA (STUB_LNC000766)
Source: RNAcentral
UGUCAUUUUUGAAUUUUCCCCACUUUUUACAAGAUAAAAAUUACCUUUUAAUUGUUUUAGUUAAAUCUUUUGAGUAUAUCCGAUCAAUUAUUGAUGGUUGAGUUACUCAAUACCUGCCGUAACUUUUAGUAUAAUAUUGACCCGACGCCUUACUAACUACCUAUAAAUAUCCAUGUGUAACCAAUGAGUCUAACACAUCACACAAUUAUUUGAGAGAAAAUAAAAUAAAAGCAAAAUGGAGGGAAAGAGUAUGAUCAAGUUAUCUCAUGUGCUUGCUUUCUUGCUUCUUGCAUCAC